UAGCUCAGUGGAUAAAGAACCUGCCUGCAAUGCAGGAGACCCAGGUUCAAUCCCUGG
Molecule: transfer RNA, 57 nt
Filed under: Bos taurus (domestic cattle)
Lineage: Eukaryota; Metazoa; Chordata; Mammalia; Artiodactyla; Bovidae
Also listed under: 4 other names
Rfam family: tRNA
About the family: Transfer RNA (tRNA) molecules are approximately 80 nucleotides in length. Their secondary structure includes four short double-helical elements and three loops (D, anti-codon, and T loops). Further hydrogen bonds mediate the characteristic L-shaped molecular structure. tRNAs have two regions of fundamental functional importance: the anti-codon, which is responsible for specific mRNA codon recognition, and the 3' end, to which the tRNAs corresponding amino acid is attached (by aminoacyl-tRNA synthetases). tRNAs cope with the degeneracy of the genetic code in two manners: having more than one tRNA (with a specific anti-codon) for a particular amino acid; and 'wobble' base-pairing, i.e. permitting non-standard base-pairing at the 3rd anti-codon position.
Source: Rfam by way of RNAcentral